CAGUGUUGUUUCUCUUUUUAAAUUUCUCCAGUAGGGCUUUUGAUUCUGAGCUGGAGCUCCGCA
This 63-nucleotide small nuclear RNA is filed under the name Charadrius vociferus (killdeer). RNAcentral's name for it is "U7 small nuclear RNA". It matches the Rfam family "U7 small nuclear RNA". From Rfam's summary of the family: Animal histone pre-mRNAs are spliced by a different mechanism than nuclear pre-mRNAs and self-splicing introns. This processing involves the U7 snRNP, which contains only one RNA species: U7. Lineage: Eukaryota; Metazoa; Chordata; Aves; Charadriiformes; Charadriidae. The record is from Rfam by way of RNAcentral.